UAUACCGUGAAACUGCGAAUGGCUCAUUAAAUCAGUUAUCGUUUAUUUGAUAGUACCUUACUACUUGGAUAACCGUGGUAAUUCUAGAGCUAAUACAUGCUAAAAACCCCAACUUMSGRAGGGGUGUAUUUAUUAGAUAAAAAACCAACGCCCUUCGGGGCUUCUUGGUGAUUCAUGAUAACUUUACGGAUCGCAUGGCCUUGCGCCGGCGACGGUUCAUUCAAAUUUCUGCCCUAUCAACUUUCGAUGGUAAGGUAUUGGCUUACCAUGGUUUCAACGGGUAACGGGGAAUUAGGGUUCGAUUCCGGAGAGGGAGCCUGAGAAACGGCUACCACAUCCAAGGAAGGCAGCAGGCGCGCAAAUUACCCAAUCCCGACACGGGGAGGUAGUGACAAUAAAUACUGAUACAGGGCUCUUUUGGGUCUUGUAAUUGGAAUGAGUACAAUUUAAACCUCUUAACGAGGAACAAUUGGAGGGCAAGUCUGGUGGACAAUUCAGCUCCCAUACUGCUGACGCCAGCAAAAGUCGGGCAUCUCUUGAUGUUACACCGGCUAGUCGAUGUACCCACUGAUCUGAUGGGGGGGUACCGGCAAGACAACCUGGGUCGGGGAAGGCUAAGGCGCUCUUUUGCGCUAUGCUAAUCCCGAGCAGAGCUACUAUAAAGCGAUUUAUGGCUAGCCUGUGUAGAGCACGGAAAGGUGUCGGCCAACUCACGUAGUUGGCUUAAGGGACGUGCCAUUCCCACCUGAAAGGGUGGCUGUCAACAAUAGCGCCCAUCACGCAAAGGUUGACAGGUUCAAACAGCCUGUUUGAAGUUAAUAAUAGGCCAGCAGCCGCGGUAAUUCCAGCUCCAAUAGCGUAUAUUAAAGUUGUUGCAGUUAAAAAGCUCGUAGUUGAAACUUGGGUCUGGCUGGCAGGUCCGCCUCACCGCGUGUACUUGUCCGGCCGGGCCUUCCUUCUGGAGAACCUCAUGCCCUUCACUGGGCGUGUUGGGGACCAGGACUUUUACUUUGAAAAAAUUAGAGUGUUCAAAGCAGGCCUUUGCUC
Molecule: ribosomal RNA, 1047 nt
Filed under: Wojnowicia sp. JP-2013
Lineage: Eukaryota; Fungi; Ascomycota; Dothideomycetes; Pleosporales; Phaeosphaeriaceae
Description: bacterial SSU rRNA
Rfam family: Eukaryotic small subunit ribosomal RNA
Source: RNAcentral